Molecule: ribosomal RNA, 281 nt
Filed under: uncultured ciliate
Lineage: Eukaryota; Ciliophora
Description: partial 18S ribosomal RNA
Rfam family: Eukaryotic small subunit ribosomal RNA
Source: RNAcentral
UGGAUGGUAGUGUAUUGGACUACCAUGGCAGUCACGGGUAACGGAGAAUUAGGGUUCGAUUCCGGAGAGGGAGCCUGAGAAACGGCUACCACAUCUACGGAAGGCAGCAGGCGCGUAAAUUACCCAAUCCUGAUUCAGGGAGGUAGUGACAAGAAAUAACAACUCGGGCAUUUUUAAUGCUUCGAAUUUGCAAUGGGAACAAUCUAAAUCACUUAUCGAGGAACAAUUGGAGGGCAAGUCUGGUGCCAGCAGCCGCGGUAAUUCCAGCUCCAAUAGCGUAU